This 68-nucleotide transfer RNA is filed under the name Marmota monax (woodchuck). RNAcentral's name for it is "tRNA.Ala". Lineage: Eukaryota; Metazoa; Chordata; Mammalia; Rodentia; Sciuridae. The record is from RNAcentral.
GCGGUGGCGCAGUGGUAGAGAGCUCUCCUAGCACGUGUGAGGCCCUGGGUUCGAUCCUCAGCACCACA